Molecule: long non-coding RNA, 111 nt
Filed under: Cyanistes caeruleus (blue tit)
Lineage: Eukaryota; Metazoa; Chordata; Aves; Passeriformes; Paridae
Description: lncRNA (ENSCCEG00000018062.1)
Source: RNAcentral
UCCGGCCAUGCUGCACUGUUCGAAACCAGCUCUACAUCCCAGCCAAUCAGUGACAUCACUGCGGACAAUGAUAACCACCUAUCCCUUAUUGGCCUGUAUAGAUGAUAUGAG